This 443-nucleotide ribosomal RNA is filed under the name uncultured bacterium. Its description in RNAcentral is "partial 16S ribosomal RNA". It matches the Rfam family "Bacterial small subunit ribosomal RNA", at positions 338 to 795 of the family's 1533-position model. The record is from RNAcentral.
CCUACGGGUGGCAGCAGUGGGGAAUAUUGGGCAAUGGGCGCAAGCCUGACCCAGCAACGCCGCGUGAAGGAAGAAGGCCUUCGGGUUGUAAACUUCUUUUCUCAGGGACGAAGAAAGUGACGGUACCUGAGGUAUAAGCCACGGCUAACUACGUGCCAGCAGCCGCGGAAAUACGUAGGUGGCAAGCGUUAUCCGGAUUUAUUGGGUGUAAAGGGCGUGUAGGCGGGUGCGCAAGUCAGAUGUGAAAACUCAGGGCUCAACCCUGAGCCUGCAUUUGAAACUGUGUUUCUUGAGUGCUGGAGAGGCAAUCGGAAUUCCAGGUGUAGCGGUGAAAUGCGUAGAUAUACGGAGGAACACCAGUGGCGAAGGCGGAUUGCUGGACAAUAACUGACGCUGAGGCGCGAAAGCGUGGGGAGCAAACAGGAUUAGAUACCCGAGUAGUC